AAACUAACAAGGAUUCCCCUAGUAACGGCGAGUGAAGCGGGAUGAGCUCAAGCUUAAAAUCUCUGUGCCAGUUUGGCAUGGCGAAUUGUAGUCUAUGGAGGCGCUGUCAGUGCGAUUGCGUGGGUUAAGUUCCUUGGAAGAGGACAGCAUCGAGGGUGAUACUCCCGUGUAUGCCCGUGCAAUUGUGCGUACGACACGUUUUCUUUGAGUCGCGUUGUUUGGGAAUGCAGCGCAAAGUAGGUGGUAAAUUCCAUCUAAAGCUAAAUAUUGGUGCGAGACCGAUAGCGAACAAGUACCGUGAGGGAAAGAUGAAAAGAACUUUGAAAAGAGAGUUAAAGAGUACCUGAAACUGCUGAAAGGGAAUCGAAUCGUUUCCAGUGUCUAUAAUCUGUGGCAUAUUUCAUUGGCGAGUGUGUGCGUGCAUUGUUUUGGAAGCAGUUUUCUGUUCCUGGCUGUGUUGUGCAUAUGCUUGCUGGUGCCCUGUGUCAUGGUGGGACGUCAGAGUCAAUUCGUAAGUUGCGGGAAAUGGCUAUUGGGGAGGUAGGUCGCUUCGGUGGCUGUUAUAUCCUGAUAGCUAGUAGUCGUGGCUGGGAUUGAGGUGCCUACAACGUGCUUUCGAGUGUCUGGGUGUCUCGUUUGGUAAGUUAUCUUGACAGCUUGCUGUGUUGGUGAUAUUAUCGAGCGAUUGAUGUCUGGUCCAACUUGUUGCCGUUCGGGACUUUGACGAAAUGGAGCGAUCCGUC
RNAcentral lists this ribosomal RNA (743 nucleotides) under Pythium acanthicum. RNAcentral describes it as "LSU rRNA". It matches the Rfam family "Eukaryotic large subunit ribosomal RNA", at positions 62 to 648 of the family's 3401-position model. The record is from RNAcentral. Lineage: Eukaryota; Oomycota; Peronosporomycetes; Pythiales; Pythiaceae.